GAUUCCCCCAGUAGCGGCGAGCGAACGGGGAGGAGCCCAGAGCCUGAAUCAGUGUGUGUGUUAGUGGAAGCGUCUGGAAAGGCGCGCGAUACAGGGUGACAGCCCCGUACACAAAAAUGCACAUAUUGUGAGCUCGAUGAGUAGGGCGGGACACGUGGUAUCCUGUCUGAAUAUGGGGGGACCAUCCUCCAAGGCUAAAUACUCCUGACUGACCGAUAGUGAACCAGUACCGUGAGGGAAAGGCGAAAAGAACCCCGGCGAGGGGAGUGAAAAAGAACCUGAAACCGUGUACGUACAAGCAGUGGGAGCCUCUUUUAUGGGGUGACUGCGUACCUUUUGUAUAAUGGGUCAGCGACUUAUAUUCUGUAGCAAGGUUAACCGAAUAGGGGAGCCGAAGGGAAACCGAGUCUUAACUGGGCGUUAAGUUGCAGGGUAUAGACCCGAAACCCGGUGAUCUAGCCAUGGGCAGGUUGAAGGUUGGGUAACACUAACUGGAGGACCGAACCGACUAAUGUUGAAAAAUUAGCGGAUGACUUGUGGCUGGGGGUGAAAGGCCAAUCAAACCGGGAGAUAGCUGGUUCUCCCCGAAAGCUAUUUAGGUAGCGCCUCGUGAAUUCAUCUCCGGGGGUAGAGCACUGUUUCGGCAAGGGGGUCAUCCCGACUUACCAACCCGAUGCAAACUGCGAAUACCGGAGAAUGUUAUCACGGGAGACACACGGCGGGUGCUAACGUCCGUCGUGAAGAGGGAAACAACCCAGACCGCCAGCUAAGGUCCCAAAGUCAUGGUUAAGUGGGAAACGAUGUGGGAAGGCCCAGACAGCCAGGAUGUUGGCUUAGAAGCAGCCAUCAUUUAAAGAAAGCGUAAUAGCUCACUGGUCGAGUCGGCCUGCGCGGAAGAUGUAACGGGGCUAAACCAUGCACCGAAGCUGCGGCAGCGACACUAUGUGUUGUUGGGUAGGGGAGCGUUCUGUAAGCCUGUGAAGGUGUACUGUGAGGUAUGCUGGAGGUAUCAGAAGUGCGAAUGCUGACAUAAGUAACGAUAAAGCGGGUGAAAAGCCCGCUCGCCGGAAGACCAAGGGUUCCUGUCCAACGUUAAUCGGGGCAGGGUGAGUCGACCCCUAAGGCGAGGCCGAAAGGCGUAGUCGAUGGGAAACAGGUUAAUAUUCCUGUACUUGGUGUUACUGCGAAGGGGGGACGGAGAAGGCUAUGUUGGCCGGGCGACGGUUGUCCCGGUUUAAGCGUGUAGGCUGGUUUUCCAGGCAAAUCCGGAAAAUCAAGGCUGAGGCGUGAUGACGAGGCACUACGGUGCUGAAGCAACAAAUGCCCUGCUUCCAGGAAAAGCCUCUAAGCAUCAGGUAACAUCAAAUCGUACCCCAAACCGACACAGGUGGUCAGGUAGAGAAUACCAAGGCGCUUGAGAGAACUCGGGUGAAGGAACUAGGCAAAAUGGUGCCGUAACUUCGGGAGAAGGCACGCUGAUAUGUAGGUGAAGUCCCUCGCGGAUGGAGCUGAAAUCAGUCGAAGAUACCAGCUGGCUGCAACUGUUUAUUAAAAACACAGCACUGUGCAAACACGAAAGUGGACGUAUACGGUGUGACGCCUGCCCGGUGCCGGAAGGUUAAUUGAUGGGGUCAGCGCAAGCGAAGCUCUUGAUCGAAGCCCCGGUAAACGGCGGCCGUAACUAUAACGGUCCUAAGGUAGCGAAAUUCCUUGUCGGGUAAGUUCCGACCUGCACGAAUGGCGUAAUGAUGGCCAGGCUGUCUCCACCCGAGACUCAGUGAAAUUGAACUCGCUGUGAAGAUGCAGUGUACCCGCGGCAAGACGGAAAGACCCCGUGAACCUUUACUAUAGCUUGACACUGAACAUUGAGCCUUGAUGUGUAGGAUAGGUGGGAGGCUUAGAAGUGUGGACGCCAGUCUGCAUGGAGCCGACCUUGAAAUACCACCCUU
RNAcentral lists this ribosomal RNA (1949 nucleotides) under Escherichia coli. Its description in RNAcentral is "partial 23S ribosomal RNA". It matches the Rfam family "Bacterial large subunit ribosomal RNA", at positions 233 to 2207 of the family's 2925-position model. The record is from RNAcentral. Lineage: Bacteria; Pseudomonadati; Pseudomonadota; Gammaproteobacteria; Enterobacterales; Enterobacteriaceae.